GUCACUGUUAAAGGGACGAGCACUGUGGAAGUCACUGUUAAAGGGGCGGGCACUGUGGAAGUCACUGUUAAAGGGGAGGCCACUAUGAAGGUCACUGUUAAAGGGGCGGGCACUGUGGAAGUCACUGUUAAAGGGGAGGCCACUAUGAAGGUCACUGUUAAAG
Long non-coding RNA from Bufo bufo (common toad), 163 nucleotides. RefSeq lists it as uncharacterized. Lineage: Eukaryota; Metazoa; Chordata; Amphibia; Anura; Bufonidae. The record is from RefSeq and is a predicted model, not a curated record. The transcript is spliced from 3 exons.